This is a non-coding RNA of Camellia sinensis, 494 nucleotides long. The record is from RefSeq and is a predicted model, not a curated record. NCBI's taxonomy places the organism in Eukaryota, Viridiplantae, Streptophyta, Magnoliopsida, Ericales, Theaceae.
ACCAUUAUAUACACACACAUCUCUUUCUCUAUCUCUAAGCGAUUAUUGAUAACUCUAGGAAGAGGCCUCGUCUCUCGAAAGAUCAAUCGGCUAUGCUUGAAGAGAGCUUCAAAGAACACAACACUCUCAAUCCUCUCCAUCUGCACCGACGAUUUUGAAGAUGCAGAGUGAUUUCGAAGCGAUUUCGAAGAUUCAGAUCGAUUUCGAGAUUCAGAGCGAUUUCAAAGCUCCAUCGCCACCACCAUCUGCACCGGCGAGAGAUUCAUAGAUGCAGUGAUUCAGAGAUUCAGUGAUUUCAGAGCGAUUUUGUUUUCGAAGCUCCACCCCCACCACCAUCUGCACCGGUGAUUUUGAUUUCACUAAGGUCUUGUGUAUUGUAUGGAUUACUUGGAGAAAAACAUUGACUGGUUGGAGUCCAAAGUAAAGCCUCUUCUCAAAGGUUAGUAUUCAAGGCCUACAUUGGCAUGGACUUGUAACUUUUUGUUUUUUGGAAG